RNAcentral lists this ribosomal RNA (253 nucleotides) under uncultured bacterium. Its description in RNAcentral is "partial 16S ribosomal RNA". It matches the Rfam family "Bacterial small subunit ribosomal RNA", at positions 524 to 776 of the family's 1533-position model. The record is from RNAcentral.
UACGAAGGGGGCUAGCGUUGUUCGGAAUUACUGGGCGUAAAGCGCGCGCAGGCGGUCCUUUAAGUCAGGGGUGAAAGCCCAGAGCUCAACUCUGGAACGGCCUUUGAAACUAGAGGACUUGGGUACGGGAGAGGUGAGUGGAAUUCCGAGUGUAGAGGUGAAAUUCGUAGAUAUUCGGAAGAACACCAGUGGCGAAGGCGGCUCACUGGCCCGGUACUGACGCUGAGGUGCGAAAGCGUGGGGAGCAAACAGG